This 253-nucleotide ribosomal RNA is filed under the name uncultured bacterium. RNAcentral describes it as "partial 16S ribosomal RNA". It matches the Rfam family "Bacterial small subunit ribosomal RNA", at positions 524 to 776 of the family's 1533-position model. The record is from RNAcentral.
UACGUAGGGGGCAAGCGUUGUCCGGAAUCAUUGGGCGUAAAGAGCGUGUAGGCGGCCAGAUAAGUCCGCUGUGAAAUCUCGAGGCUCAACUUCGAGCUGUCGGUGGAAACUGUCUGGCUAGAGUCCGGAAGAGGAGAAUGGAAUUCCUGGUGUAGCGGUGGAAUGCGCAGAUAUCAGGAGGAACACCCAUAGCGAAGGCAGCUUGCUGGGACGUUACUGACGCUAAGGCGCGAAAGCGUGGGGAGCGAACAGG